This 251-nucleotide ribosomal RNA is filed under the name uncultured prokaryote. RNAcentral's name for it is "partial 16S ribosomal RNA". It matches the Rfam family "Bacterial small subunit ribosomal RNA", at positions 525 to 775 of the family's 1533-position model. The record is from RNAcentral.
ACGGAGGGUGCAAGCGUUGUUCGGAAUUAUUGGGCGUAAAGGGCGUGUAGGUGGCUUACCAAGUCUGGUGUGAAAUCCCACGGCUCAACCGUGGAACUGCAUUGGAAACUGGUGAGCUCGAGUAUUGGAGGGGGUCGCGGAAUUCCCGGUGUAGAGGUGAAAUUCGUAGAUAUCGGGAGGAACACCAGUGGCGAAGGCGGCGACCUGGCCAUUUACUGACACUGAGACGCGAAAGCGUGGGGAGCAAACAG